This 289-nucleotide unclassified non-coding RNA is filed under the name uncultured fungus. RNAcentral describes it as "partial contains 5.8S rRNA, ITS2 and 28S rRNA". It matches the Rfam family "Eukaryotic large subunit ribosomal RNA", at positions 668 to 961 of the family's 3401-position model. Lineage: Eukaryota; Fungi. The record is from RNAcentral.
AAGGAGUCUAACAUGCUUGCGAGUAUUUGGGUGUCAAACCCGGAUGCGUGAUGAAAGUGAAUGGAGGUGGGAAGCGCAAGCUGCACCAUCGACCGAUCUGGAUUUUCUAAGAUGGAUUUGAGUAAGAGCACGUAUGUUGGGACCCGAAAGAUGGUGAACUAUGCCUGAAUAGGGCGAAGCCAGAGGAAACUCUGGUGGAGGCUCGUAGCGGUUCUGACGUGCAAAUCGAUCGUCAAAUUUGGGUAUAGGGGCGAAAGACUAAUCGAACCAUCUAGUAGCUGGUUCCUGC